RNAcentral lists this long non-coding RNA (193 nucleotides) under Anas platyrhynchos (mallard). Its description in RNAcentral is "lncRNA (ENSAPLG00020000383.1)". Lineage: Eukaryota; Metazoa; Chordata; Aves; Anseriformes; Anatidae. The record is from RNAcentral.
GUCCAAGUAGCUGUGCCAUCUCCAGAGCAAAGGGCUUGUGCCAGGCUGGCUGCCCGCAGCUUCCCCUUGGAAAUCCCCCGUUUCUAACCUUAACUGCUUUUCCUACAAGGAAGAAGCAUCCCCCCCCCGAGUUUGAAGGUAAGCUCCGGAUGUUCACUGCAGCGUGGAGAUCUGUGGGUAUAAAUCCUGUUCA